Molecule: long non-coding RNA, 4135 nt
Organism: Cavia porcellus (domestic guinea pig)
Lineage: Eukaryota; Metazoa; Chordata; Mammalia; Rodentia; Caviidae
Exons: 3
Source: RefSeq, a predicted model, not a curated record
GUGGCUGGGACAGGGUCCUGCUUUCCCUGCUGUCGCUGCUGACUGUUGGCCUGGUCUGACUCCAGUGCUUUGUCUGUAAGCUGGAAGGGCAUUCGCUGGACACCAGCAGCCGUGCUGCUCCGGCGGGAGCCCUGCCAGGCCAGCAGUCAAGUGGGGCCCUGGGUGACUCACUGGGACACUGGUGCUGCUGCGGGUGACUUCGGACCUUGGUGUCCACCUGCUGCUGCCCCUCCCCCAUUCGUGCUCUUUUCAGACCUUGGACUUGGCCGUGGCUCCUGAGCCCUGGGACAGCGAGUCCUGUACUGUGGAUCUGACACCCACUGCCUCCACCCUGCAGUGCUCACCCCAUGUCCCCCAGGCCACAGGUCCUGACUGCACCUGCCCCAACCCAGGCACAUCCCUGGCUGUGACACCCUGACCAGCUGGCUCGGUUGUGAGGCCAGCGCCGACAUGACAUGGCGUCUCUGUCUCUGCCUCCUCUGGGUACAGACCCAAGCAGAGCCGUUUCCCUGGACAGGGCCGCAGCUCCUCUGGCCUGUGCUGUCCCCAUCCCCCUCUGUAUCCCCAGGUGUCUCCUCCCAUGCCACGCCCCUCCUCCCAAAAGCCCACAGGCCCCUCCGGUACACAGGUGUGACUUGUCUUCUGUGUAGGAAGGGUCGCUUGUGCUGUUCACUUCCACUGUCCCCUGACCCUGGUGGCCGGCGACUCCCAGGGUAGAGCUUCCAAGGGGUGAGGGGCAUUUGUGCUCCAACUUCAGCUGCUGUGUGUACACAAAGGUCCAGUGGCAAAAGGACCUGGGUCAGGAGGGCAGCUCUGGCUCACUGAGCUUUGAAGUUCCCAGGGUGUCUCAUCUGUCCCCAGCCCUCCAGUGCCAGGGCCUCCUGCUCCACGCUGCUUGGUCACAGUCACCGUGAGUGUGGCCUGCCACACUGCUUGCUAAGUGGUUCUUUGAGGCAAUGUUCUGAUCUCAUCAACCCAGGUGGCCAUGGGCGUGGGUGUGGCACUGUCUGGCCCCCCUCUCCUGCGCUGCCCUGGGAGCCAACUCGGGAUCUGGCUUGGCUUUCCUGGCCCAGCCACUGCCUCGUUGGUGGACACUCACUGCCUUGCUGCCCACAGCAACCAUCACCUCGGGGUCAGAGAGCAGAAGCGCUGCCCUAGACAUUGCCCUGAGACACUGCUGAGUCCUCCUAGUAAACUGCCCACUCGUGUCACAGAUGUAAACUAAUGAAGGCCCGGCUCAGAAAAUCCCCGAACAUUUGUCUCAGACCCUGGAGACAUCUUGGUGAUUUUCCCCCUAAACCAUUUUCUAUGCCGACAGAGGGGACAUGUCAGGGACUCACAGGUGGGCGCCUGGCCUGCAGGACUCCUGUGCAGGCUGGAGGGCAGAAGGACAGUCCAGGCCCAAGCUGGUGCCCUGACACCUGUGGCCCCACGCCCAGCCCAAGACGACACUGCUUGCUCACUCUCUGGCUUUCUUCCCAGGUUUCCUGUGUCCCCUCCCCAUCAGGAUCAGCGCCAGGCAAGCGACAUGGCUGCUGUUCUGUUCCCGGUGUGUUCCUCAUUCCCAGCCCAGGCCCAGCACACCAUAGGCACCAAGUAACCACUGUGAAAUGGCGAUUAAGAGUGUAUGAGGCUUCUAUGUUUUAUUAAAAACUUUUUUGCUUAUUUAUUUUUUGAGACAGGGUCUCACUGUGAGUUCAGGCUGGCCUGGAACUCAUUAUGCAGCCCAGGCUGGCCUCAAAGUCACAGGGAUCUUCCUGCCUCAGCCUCCCAAGUGCUGAAAUUACAAGCACGCGCCACUGCGCUUUGUGACGAACAUCCAAAGCAACCCACAUGUGCAUAGAAACAUCACAACACACCUCACAUGAGCAUGGGCAAGCACUCUUUGUCAGGUUCUGAUAAAAAUUUUAGAAGUUUAAAAGUAUGGUGGUGCACGCCUGUAAUCCCAGCUACUCAGGAGGCUGAGUCAGAAGGAUGGCAAGUUCAAGGUCAUUUUGGGCAACUUUGCAAAAUUAAAAAGAAAUAACCAUGGCAGAUCUACACUAGGGUGCAAGUAUUCACAAUGACAUCCUGAUGUAACUCCAUAAAGAGAUCUGCUAAUUAUGUUACUGAAUGGGGAACGGGAAGAUAAAAUGGGUAACUGAAAUGUAUAUACCUACAGGCAGAGGUUUCAUUUGGUAAGAAAAGGAAAGUCCUGAUGAACCGUGAAACUGUACCGAGUGAAAGAAAUGCCAAGGCCACUAAAUAGUUGGUGAUUCCAUUUAUUUCAGGAAUAUCCCCAAGUGUGGCAGUGCACAUCUGGGAGGCCAAGACGGCAGGGUCAUGCAUUUGAGCCCAAGUCGGGCAGUUGAGUGGCUGAAUGAUGCUCUGUCUUGAAAUAAAAAAUAAAAAUUGGCAGGUGAUACAGCUACCUGGGAAGACCCUGGGCUCCAUCCUGGUACAGAAAAAGGAAAGGAAAGGACGGGAAGGCAAGGGAGGGGAGGAGAGGGGAGAAGAAGAAAAAAGGAAAGGAAAGUCUGUAAUCAACAACCACAGGGAACUAAAGCAGAUAGGCAGAGUCAGCACUGGGACAGCAGAGUUAGGAGACAGUGGUCGCUGCUAUUGGGCACACGGUUUCUUUUUGGAAUAAAAAUAUUCUGAAGUUGAUUGCACUAAUAUGCACACAACUCUGAGUGUACUAACACAUUGGGUCCUGUACUUUACAGCAUCUGAAUUAGAGCUCAAUAAAGUUCUACUGCAGUGUCGAAUGUGAAAGAAAGCGAGGCAGAGAUGUGGACUCUUCUUUGGAAGAUGUUUCUGUCUUCCAAAGAAGAGAAACCAAACUCCAGGGAAACCCUGCUCCUGAAAAAUAAGUAAGUUUUUCCUUAUGGGGGGAGAGGAGCUGGGAGUCUCAGAACAGAUCUGGCUUAAAUCAGGCAAAUGUGUCUAGAGCUAAACAAAACUUAAGACACGAGUGGCCCAACGAUGAAAUACGCCAGGUUCAAGGUGUUUUCCACACCGGUACGAGCCGGUGCUCUGAGCACAGUUCUUGGACCACAUUCCUGGCCGGUGUUACCCUAAGACAGGCACUGCAGAAAGCUUCCAGGAACCCCGUGCAGCAGAGAGGAAGGGGAGAGGGGAAGGAAUUUUUACUGGGACCAGAGAUUGAAUCCAGGGCCUUGGCACCAGCUCCAUCCCUAGCACCACCCCCUUGUUUUGAGACAGGCAAAAUGCGUUGAGUUGCUAAAUUGCCCGGAGUGGACUCAAACCUGUGAGGAGAAGCUGCCUCAGCCUCCCACAGGGUUCAGAACACAAGCUUGCACCACCUUGCUGGCCCAAGAGGAAGAGCUACACAUAUUGUUACAGCUUGUGUCUGAAUCCCCCAAACAUCAUGGACCCAUGGAGAGCUGUUUCCGCUCUGCCCUGCCCCUGUGCCAAGCUUCCCUGCCUUGGAGCCAGCUGGUUUUGAACUGAACCACUACAGACUGUGAGCCAGGAAAAUCUUUCAAAAAACCAAAAAAUCCCUACAGGCCUUAGAGACUCUGCGAGCCUGAGCCGCCCAGCCCCGCCCUGCUCUACUACUGAGCUGUGCUUCCCGUCUGCAGGGCAGCAGCUGUGCUGGGGCAGUGGGUCUCAACUCGGAACACUGGCAAGCGCUUUGCCUCCUGCUUUGGCAUGUGUGACCUGAGGGCGGGAACACACUCCCCAGGGGACCCAUCCUGAAGAAGCCCCAAGACCUCGCAAAUGUAUCCAGCUCCACAUCAAUGGGUCUCUGGCACUCUGAUUGCACCUGUUUAAUUCUUGCCUCGAACGACCCUGCCAUGCCCCCUACGGCAGGGUCACCUCGUAAACUAUGCUGGGUCGUGAUGCUAUUUUCUGGACCAAGGACAGGUGUCAUUUGAAGAGCGGCAAGUCGCAGACUGAGGAAGGUCGACUCUGGGUGUCCAGUAUGAGCACCUGAGUCGUCCCAGAAAGUGAGAAAACCAGGGCGCUCUCGCGUUCCUCCCCAGUGCGAGAAGCCCCUGUGAAGGCCCCAGCAGGUGAGGGGACGCAACUGAGGAUGCUCAGGGACAGGAUAAGGAGUGGGCCAUGAUUAUCCCGUCUUCCUUAGCUUGGAACCUGGUCCCCACCACAGGAGGAUUUUUAAAAGAACUAU